UCCAGGGAUGGGUUCGGCUUCUCUUCGUCUCGGCAGAGAUUAAACCGCUUUAAUUAGCUCCUCAAGGGGCCCUGGAGAGCCCAGGAGCUCCGUGGUUGUUUCAGGGUGGUGAGGAUGGGAAUGAGCUCAGUGCUGGAGGAGGCAGAGGGAUGUGGAGCCAAGCUUGGGUGGAAAUGCACAGAGAAUCUGCUCUGUCCCCUGCCACAGGUUCCAGGAGAGCACUAAAAAAGCCCUUCAGAUCUCCAAUAUGAAAUUAAAAGACUCGAGCAGAGGGAGAGCAUCAGCUCUCUUUGAGGAGACAUGAGAAGAUGAGCAGCUGGUAAUGAAGAGAUUUUUAAAUGACCCUUCUUUGCCUGUCUCCUGUGUAAAAGAGCAGAGGAAGAGCUGUUGUUAAAGUGACCAAAGCCUGGGAGAGGAAGAUGGACUGGACACCUGGAAUGCAGAAUUUACAGACCACAAGGACACCUUGCAGAAAGCAGAGGCCAAGAAGAUGCUAAAAGAGACUCACCACAUCUUGGAAUUUGGAGGAAG
Long non-coding RNA from Haemorhous mexicanus (house finch), 531 nucleotides. RefSeq lists it as uncharacterized. NCBI's taxonomy places the organism in Eukaryota, Metazoa, Chordata, Aves, Passeriformes, Fringillidae. The record is from RefSeq and is a predicted model, not a curated record. The transcript is spliced from 3 exons.